AUUGAACGCUGGCGGAAUGCUUUACACAUGCAAGUCGAACGGCAGCACGGACUUCGGUCUGGUGGCGAGUGGCGAACGGGUGAGUAAUGUAUCGGAACGUGCCCAGUCGUGGGGGAUAACGUAGUGAAAAUUACGCUAAUACCGCAUACGAUCUAUGGAUGAAAGCGGGGGAUCGCAAGACCUCGCGCGAUUGGAGCGGCCGAUAUCAGAUUAGGUAGUUGGUGGGGUAAAGGCCCACCAAGCCAACGAUCUGUAGCUGGUCUGAGAGGACGACCAGCCACACUGGAACUGAGACACGGUCCAGACUCCUACGGGAGGCAGCAGUGGGGAACUUUGGACAAUGGGCGAAAGCCUGAUCCAGCCAUUCCGCGUGCAGGAUGAAGGCCCUCGGGUUGUAAACUGCUUUUGUACAGAACGAAAAGGCUUCUACUAAUACUAGGAGCUCAUGACGGUACUGUAAGAAUAAGCACCGGCUAACUACGUGCCAGCAGCCGCAGUAA
RNAcentral lists this ribosomal RNA (500 nucleotides) under uncultured bacterium. RNAcentral describes it as "partial 16S ribosomal RNA". It matches the Rfam family "Bacterial small subunit ribosomal RNA", at positions 30 to 523 of the family's 1533-position model. The record is from RNAcentral.